GGGGAUGUAGCUCAGCGGGAGAGCGCCUGCCUCGCAUGCAGGAAGUCAGGGGUUCGAAUCCCCUCAUCUCCACCA
Molecule: transfer RNA, 75 nt
Filed under: Deltaproteobacteria bacterium
Lineage: Bacteria; Pseudomonadati; Myxococcota; Myxococcia
Description: tRNA-Ala
Rfam family: tRNA
About the family: Transfer RNA (tRNA) molecules are approximately 80 nucleotides in length. Their secondary structure includes four short double-helical elements and three loops (D, anti-codon, and T loops). Further hydrogen bonds mediate the characteristic L-shaped molecular structure. tRNAs have two regions of fundamental functional importance: the anti-codon, which is responsible for specific mRNA codon recognition, and the 3' end, to which the tRNAs corresponding amino acid is attached (by aminoacyl-tRNA synthetases). tRNAs cope with the degeneracy of the genetic code in two manners: having more than one tRNA (with a specific anti-codon) for a particular amino acid; and 'wobble' base-pairing, i.e. permitting non-standard base-pairing at the 3rd anti-codon position.
Source: RNAcentral